RNA transcript from Vollenhovia emeryi, 3729 nucleotides. RefSeq lists it as uncharacterized. The record is from RefSeq and is a predicted model, not a curated record. The transcript has 2 exons. NCBI's taxonomy places the organism in Eukaryota, Metazoa, Arthropoda, Insecta, Hymenoptera, Formicidae.
GAUGAUGAUGAUGAUGAUGUUGAUGAUAAUAAUGAUGAUGACGAUGACGACGACGACGACGACGACGCGUAUUCGGGUGUAUCAGUCAUCAGACUCCACGCACCAAAAGACAGGCGCCAUGUCGUCGUUUUCUUCCUCGAGCAACCAACCGAUCGAUCUUCUUCAGUAGCGUAAUGUACGCACAACUAGCUGUAUAAGCUGUAAGAAUGUGAAAUUGAUAUGCUACGAUAUGAAAAAUUAAUAUUUUUGGCAUGAUAUCGGGUCGAGGUCGAAGUGUAAUCCGCUAUCAAUUACGUAAUCACAAGAUAACGUGGUCACCACGUGGUUUUAGCAUACUUGGUAAAUGAUUCGUGAAAAUAGAUAUCGAAUUAUAUGAAAUGCAUAAAAACGAGAAAUAAAGAAUAAAUAGUAACUAGUGGGAUUUAAUGUAAUUUUUAUUUAUUACGUACAGUUUUUUGCCAACUUUUUCAAGUACUAAUGUAAUCGAAAAAAACGGUUAUAAGCGUGGCAUGAGGCAAAGUUGAAUUUUCUCUCUUUAGUUUUCUUAAACUAACUUAAAUUGAAUAAAACACUUUAAAUGAGAGAUUUAAAUGAUUAUUUUUUAACUAAAUAAAUACUUGGUAAUGUUAAAAUGUCAUCUUUGGGAGGCAACUAGUUCUAAAGGAAAUGCGUUAAAUUUAACAAUAAAAUGGAAUAGUUGUCACCCCUACAUUGAGCGAAUUUUGCUCGGAUAAACGGCGCACCCAGUACUGAUGGCGUGGUGUUUAAUUAAAUUAGCCACGUUAUAGAGCAGUUCCCUGAGGUCAUUCCCGUGUCGUAUCACGUUUAUUUCGACGCGUCACUCUUACUCGUGAAUUUUUCUACCUUGCUGUGUUAUCUUGUGUGUGUGUGCGUGUGUGUGUGUGUGUAUCUCUCUGAAUGUAUACUAUUUUUAUUUGAGGAUGUUUACAUAUAUAGUAGUGCGUCACAUUUCUUCUAUUCACUCUGACAAUUAAAUGACUGAACUAAAGUCUAUUAAAUAUUCAAUCUAAACUAGAUAGAACAAUGUCAUCCCGAAUAUUAUGAUUGUACUUAACAAUAUAACAGUUAUAUUCCAUAUAUAUGUAUUCCACAACGUGAAAUGUAAAGAGAGCUGAAAAAGAUAGACUUUGGAGAUUUUAAUUGAAAGUCAUUAUCAGUUUAAUUAAUAUAUUAAUAUCUGUAUAUAAUUACGAUCCGAAAGCAUUUAACUUUAAAUGUGAAGACAUACGGUGCCUAACGUACCUUGUUCGAGCGUGGAUAACAGCGCACGCUCUUAUCCUUCGGAUGGAGGAGCUGUAGAGUGUAGACCCGCUCAUUUACUCGAAACGCGUCGAGAGAGAGAGAAAGAACAUGUGUCGCGUCAAGAGCCACGUAUAGCGCAUGCGCGAGCGUGGAUAGUCUGGCGCCAGCAGGUGCGGUUAAAUAUAGCUUAUGCAACGGUAUCCUCUCUUCGUUCGCACACUCUCUUGGCUCUCUCCGCCUUUUUCUCACUGUCCUCUCUUUCUCUUUCUCUCUCCCCCCUUACUUACCGAAAAAACACGUAAACACAUGGUUAAUAUGUAUAUGAUAUGAAAGUAUUUUCGAAGCUCAAAUCUUCUAAGCUAAUCGUUAUUUUAUUGGUAUGUCGAAAUAAUUGCGAUAGCUUUUAUUUUCAAUCCAACUUAAUUUCCAUGAAAUUUGUAUAUAAUUUUAUUUACGCUAAUAACGGGCGUGUAUCCAGAAAAAUACAAUCAAUUUAUAUUUUUAACGUUAUGCCAUGUACAACGUGUUGAAACAUUCAUAGUCGCCCUUAUAUUUGCAACAUACGUGACAUAAUUACAAUCGAUUAGAAAUAUAUGUAGUAAACUUGAUAAUUUACAUAAUUUAAUUCAAUAACGACAUUUUAUAAUUUAUAUACCAUGUACUUUUUCACAUCAUUAUCAUCAUUAUCGUUUUACAUAUUUUAAGUAAUGGAUAAGUGAAUCGUACAAUUUGAACGAUAUUGUACGCGAAAGAAAUCUUUUUUUCUAGUUAGGUCUUCAGGGACAAUGAGAAGAAAAAAGAGAGAAGGAAGCAAAAUCAAACGAACGUAAAUAACGUUCUACUCAUUUUGUGUAGGUUUCAGAAUAAUAAGAUUUUUAAUAAUUACGAUUAAUUAUUAUUUUCAACUUGGUAUCGACUUGGUUACAAGCAGAAACUUACGAUCGCGCCAAGUCAUCUACGUACUUUAAUACGUAUCUUUGUAUGAUACGUGCGGUAUGUUGAUCGAGAGACUUGAUUUGCAUCUGCAACAAACAUGGGGCCUGAGCCGCAUAUCUCGCAUCUUAUAAUAACCCGACAUUUCCAUUCAUCCAGCAUCCAUCUUAUUUCUCGCGUUUCUACGGAAUCGAAGGCCUCGCGACACACGUCGCAGGCGGAUUCAAGUAACGUAAUACUUAAUACUUGUAAGAUGUUUCUCAAGAACAAUUUGCUUCAUGAAUUUCCUAACGAAUUUUGGGAAUAAACUGUAAGGAUUUUCCCUUGCUCUUAAACUUGGUUAUUUAAAUACUUGGAAACGCUCUUUCACAGUUGCUUCUUCGUGUCGUAAUAUCUUUCUAAAUUUUCGGAAUUACAUAGACACGACUGUUUUCUCUCCCAACGAUAAAUUUUUUAAUAUACGAUACUUUCCAUUCAUCGUAUCGACAAUGUUGAUACUUUUUAGCAUUUUAUUUCUGUACUAUAAUCAAUAAGAAGUAAAGAAGAUAUGAAUUGUUCAGUUUUAUAUUAAAUAGGAGUUUUUUUAAGUAUAUGUAUGUUAUAUUCAGCAAUCUUCUCUCGAUAUCGAAACCAGUGUCAAAAUUAUCAAUCUAUUGAUACAGAUUGAUUUCGGUUUGAACAAGUGUUUUUCGAUAGCUCGUUGAAUAUCUCACUGAAUGUUAAAAGAAUCGUUGGGUAUCGAUACGCGUUAUUGUCACGUACAUCUACGUUUAUUUUAUUAUAAUUCGGCACUUUCUGCUUUUCGUAAAUGAAUAUUUCCAGUCGUCUUUCUAUACGAAGCAUUGCAAGAGAGAAUGUAAGAGAAAAUGAAGAUAUGACGUUGCCAAGUAUUAGACAACGCACAUAAAGAAAAGUAUACAGUACAAUUCUCUAUAUAAAAAUAUAUAUUUCUAUAAGAAACGUAGAGGACGUUCUCUCAAUUGUGAAUAUUGUCUGCCUAUACAUAUAUGGUAAUAUAAUUUUAUAAAAUACACGAAAAUGUGUGUUUGAAUGAGAUAACAUUGUUUUCUGCAAUAGAACGAUGCUUAUAAAAAAAUGAUGAAAAUUUUUCUCGAGAUUAUGAUUUUCGAGAUUUUGCCGAUUAUCGGUUUCCUAUCGUUUCUGCAACACUUGAGAUAAUGAGUGAUAAUACAAUAAUACGUACGAGAGCGCAUAGCGCGUAUUCUGUUACAAACCGACAAUAUCCCACAGUCUCUAGUUUACCAAUCGCCUCGAUCAAUUAAUUUUUUAACUUGUUUAUUUUCCCAUUGCCAUUUUAUUGCACAAAGGAAAAGUAAAUUAACUUUUCGUUAAAGUACUUGAUUAAUUAAGAAUUUACUCUCUCUCGAUUUCUGAAUUUCGUAGUUUUAUUAAUUUACUUAUGUUGAAAAAAUUAUUUGAAACAUUAAUUUUUUCAGAUUCUUCAAGGUUAUACAUUUAGACAAUCACGUACGUUACAAUCAUUACAUCAUAUCAUACUUUGAGCGAAAAAAA